RNAcentral lists this unclassified non-coding RNA (160 nucleotides) under uncultured Diaporthaceae. RNAcentral's name for it is "sequence contains ITS2". Lineage: Eukaryota; Fungi; Ascomycota; Sordariomycetes; Diaporthales. The record is from RNAcentral.
CAACCCUCAAGCCUGGCUUGGUGAUGGGGCACUGCCUUUGUAACAGAGGGCAGGCCCUGAAAUCUAGUGGCGAGCUCGCUAGGACCCCGAGCGUAGUAGUUUAUAUCUCGUUCUGGAAGGCCCUGGCGGUGCCCUGCCGUUAAACCCCCAACUUCUGAAA